GACGAACGCUGGCGGCGUGCUUAACACAUGCAAGUCGAACGGAAAGGCCCUGCUUUUGUGGGGUGCUCGAGUGGCGAACGGGUGAGUAACACGUGAGUAACCUGCCCUUGACUUUGGGAUAACUUCAGGAAACUGGGGCUAAUACCGGAUAGGAGCUCCUGCUGCAUGGUGGGGGUUGGAAAGUUUCGGCGGUUGGGGAUGGACUCGCGGCUUAUCAGCUUGUUGGUGGGGUAGUGGCUUACCAAGGCUUUGACGGGUAGCCGGCCUGAGAGGGUGACCGGCCACAUUGGGACUGAGAUGCGGCCCAGACUCCUACGGGAGGCAGCAGUGGGGAAUAUUGCACAAUGGGCGGAAGCCUGAUGCAGCAACGCCGCGUGCGAGAUGACGGCCUUCGGGUUGUAAACCGCUUUCGCCUGUGACGAAGCGUGAGUGACGGUAAUGGGUAAAGAAGCACCGGCUAACUACGU
RNAcentral lists this ribosomal RNA (467 nucleotides) under uncultured bacterium. RNAcentral's name for it is "partial 16S ribosomal RNA". It matches the Rfam family "Bacterial small subunit ribosomal RNA", at positions 28 to 506 of the family's 1533-position model. The record is from RNAcentral.